GUCCUACGGGAGGCAGCAGUGAGGGAUAUUGGUCAAUGGGGGAAACCCUGAUGCAGCGACGCCGCGUGAGUGAGGAAGUAUUUCGGUAUGUAAAGCUCUAUCAGCAGGGAAGAAAAUGACGGUACCUGACUAAGAAGCCCCGGCUAACUACGUGCCAGCAGCCGCGGUAAUACGUAGGGGGCAAGCGUUAUCCGGAUUUACUGGGUGUAAAGGGAGCGUAGACGGUUAUGCAAGUCUGAAGUGAAAGCCCAAGGCUCAACCAUGGGACUGCUUUGGAAACUGUAAAACUGGAGUGCAGGAGAGGG
Molecule: ribosomal RNA, 305 nt
Filed under: uncultured bacterium
Lineage: Bacteria
Description: bacterial SSU rRNA
Rfam family: Bacterial small subunit ribosomal RNA
Source: RNAcentral